Molecule: ribosomal RNA, 461 nt
Filed under: uncultured bacterium
Lineage: Bacteria
Description: bacterial SSU rRNA
Rfam family: Bacterial small subunit ribosomal RNA
Source: RNAcentral
GGGCCCGCACAAGCGGUGGAGCAUGUGGUUUAAUUCGACGCAACGCGAAGAACCUUACCUGGGCUCGAACGGCUUCCCAACGGUGUCAGAAAUGAUGCUAUCCCGCAAGGGAGUGGAGUCGAGGUGCUGCAUGGCUGUCGUCAGCUCGUGUCGUGAGAUGUUGGGUUAAGUCCCGCAACGAGCGCAACCCUUGUCCUGUGUUGCAACUAAUAGGCACUCUCAGGAGACCGCCAGCGAUAAGCUGGAGGAAGGUGGGGAUGACGUCAAGUCAUCAUGGCCUUUAUGUCCAGGGCUACACACGUGCUACAAUGGGCGGUACAGACCGCUGCAAACCCGCGAGGGGGAGCAAAUCGGAAAAAACCGUUCUCAGUUCGGAUUGCAGGCUGCAACUCGCCUGCAUGAAGCUGGAAUCGCUAGUAAUGGCAUAUCAGAACGAUGCCGUGAAUACGUUCCCGGGCCUU